UAUAUAGAACCAUGGGGUUCUUUACUUGGCCAAUAGAACCUUUUACCAAAAAAAGGGUUCCAUAUAGAGCCCUUGGAGGGCAAAGAACCCAUUUUAUUAAAAUGGUUCUAUAAUUCACGUUUGUGACUGAAGUGUAAACAAAAGAUUACACAAUAAUUACAGACCUACACAACUCAUUUACAAACCUACACAACUCAUUCACAAACCUUUUUGUGUCAAUAGGCUGUGGUCAAAUAAAGAGAGAGUCAACAAAUAGGCUAUUCAUAUUUAUUGUAUGACUUAUUUCCUGUGAGCUUUUUUAUGCAAGUUUGUACAUUAGCAUGAAACUUACAGUGCAGUUUGCGUUUUUGGUGAAUAACCAGGUGUUUUCUUUAUUUUGUACAUUCUAUAUUGUCAAUGUUUAAUUUAACCUGAAGGGGCAUUAAAAACAAAUAAUCGCAAAAGUGCCCUCUGGUGGCGUAUAUAUGCGUUGCACCAUAAGCGAAGAUGAGCUUGUUGGGUUAUAUGUUGGGUAAUUUUGAAGCAGAGCCAGCUUAAUAGAUACAUAGCUGUUUCUCAAUAUUACUUUCUCUAGUCCACAAAAUGUAUUUUAAACAUAAGUUCAGGCGAGAAUAUAUAUAUAUAAUGUUCAAAUUUGCAGUCGGUUUGUAAAGUGAACGCCAAUUUUAAAGUUUAAUUACACAAAGUCGGAAUGUUACCGGCGUGACCACCGGGUGUCAGUGUUGUUCUUCCCCAGAGAGAACUCCUCCCAUCCCCCCACACAGACGCGUCAUCUCAGCUGAACUCCUGGCUCUCACUGCAUGGAUACUUGACGCGGGAGUUUACCUCAGGAUUCAUGAACAGUUUUUCAUCGACUUAUUUCUGAUUUAUUUGAAGGAAAAGACCCUGAUGGAUAAAAGAUGGAUAUUUUUUCCUGGAGAAGCUAAAACAAUGUCACUUUGAGGUUCUGAUACCAGCUUUUACAAAGUUAUUUACAGAGUUCACCAGACUUCUCUGUGUUAUUUCCUGACCAUGCCGAAAAGCUAUUUGAAACUUGGGCAUUGCAUUUUCCAGACAGAAUCCUGCACUUCCCAGCCAAGAACCAGGAGCAUCAACAAAUCACCUCCAGAACCCCAUGAUGAUAUUCCAACUCCUGUCUACAAAAGUGGGAAGAAAAUCUUAAGUCUAUGUUGGGACCAACAUGGUUGCAUUCUUCUGAGAGGCUGAUGUGACAAAACCAUUCCCAUUUGUCCUUGGAUUGGAAGAUGGCGAUCUCUGCCAUCAAGCCUUCGUUGUUUUUGACAGACAGUCACUCCAGCAAUACACCCUCCUUGGUGAUGUUGACAUGUUUUAAACUUUUUUUUUAUGUUUUGGACAUUAAUUUUACCAAGCAGUGCACAUCAGUGUGGGUGUUUUUGAAGACUGUUGUUUACAAACUCCCAAGAACGGAAUCCCUUUCUAUAAGAAGUCUGUGUAGUUAUUUGUCAUGCUAAGGUGAUAACUGAUGUUGAUCAUAUAUUGACUGUUUGUGCAACUUUGUGUUGAUCUUAUGUGUUACAUUAACCAUUUCUUAUUACACGGUUCUCUAAAAUGCUAGAUUCUGAUUGGCCAGUCGUGACAUUCUACUACUGCUCAAAACUAAAAACUCCAAUGCUGCAAAUCAUUUUGACAGGUACUGUUUUAUAUUACACAAAAAUUAAAUAUCAAUGUCUAUUAAUUACAUAUCCGACAUUAAAUUUAUAAAUGAUUAAAUGUGUUCGUGACAUUUGUCCUGAAGAAACUGUUGGGGCUUUUUUCUGUGAUGACAUGCUGCCAAUACAUUAUCCCUUACUUGUACAACUUUUUACUUGAUCUAAUUGUAAUGUUAAUUGGGGAUCUGUCAUUUUAGAUUGUGAGAUAUAAUACUAAUAUAUUUUUUUAUUUAUAUAUAAUAUAUAAACGUAUGUAUGUUUAUUAAAAAGUGAAAAUGCUUAAUGGAAAUAAUUAAAUAACUAAAUGGUUGAAUGAAAUGAGACAUUUUAAAUGUAAACUAAAGUUUUGCUGUCUAAUACAGA
This is a long non-coding RNA of Paramisgurnus dabryanus, 2033 nucleotides long. RefSeq lists it as uncharacterized. The record is from RefSeq and is a predicted model, not a curated record. Lineage: Eukaryota; Metazoa; Chordata; Actinopteri; Cypriniformes; Cobitidae.